Molecule: unclassified non-coding RNA, 415 nt
Filed under: Hevea brasiliensis (rubber tree)
Lineage: Eukaryota; Viridiplantae; Streptophyta; Magnoliopsida; Malpighiales; Euphorbiaceae
Source: RNAcentral
AACCAAAAUGGCUUAAGUCAUUUUAGCAAUGGGAAGUCCAGUUUCAAGCCCAAUUCAGCAUGUAGUCUGCAAUUUGAUAUUCACGCUCCUAGGUCCAUAAUUCUUAACAUGGUAUUAGAGUAGUAAGGCCCAAUGGUUGUAGAUCUGGGACUCGAAAGCAUGGUGAGUUGAGCCCCAGCAAGCUAGACUCAUGAGUUGAGCCCUAGCGAGCUAGCCUGGGGUGGAUCCAUGAGCUAGCCCAGUGAACUAGACUUUGAGGACAGAGCCAAGAGGAGCCAGACUCAAAUUAAAUGGGCCACCCCAUGCAAUGGCAAGUGACAAUUGAGCCUGUGAACCUGAGUUUAACCCAGUUGCACUUGAGAGGGAGUGCUGGAAUAUCACUUGUGGGAAGAAGUCUCACAUUGGCAAUGUACAA